AUCAAUCUUUAAAAGAAAAAUCAAUGAAAAGGAGUUUUGUGAAAAAAAAUUUAAAACAUUAGGGGGUGUUCUUGUAAUUCUAAAACCUCAAGGAGUUUUGUGAAAAAGCCUAAAACCUCAGGAGGUGUUAGUGUAAAUAACUCUAGGAACUCUAUGUGAUACUAAGUCACUCAUGUACCUUACCCUGCAAUGUAUAAAG
Molecule: long non-coding RNA, 199 nt
Filed under: Prunus persica (peach)
Lineage: Eukaryota; Viridiplantae; Streptophyta; Magnoliopsida; Rosales; Rosaceae
Description: long non-coding RNA (PPER_LNC003605)
Source: RNAcentral